AUGCAUGAUGUCGAUCAAUUAUCUUAAGUCGUUAUGUCCGCAGAAGACCGGAGUGACAUUAGUGAGGAAAAACUUAACACUAUGCGUCGUUGGCUGCUGAAACAGAGCAUCACCGAGCUGCUGGAGCAUCGUCGGUGCUGUAACGGAGCUCGCCGUGUCGCGCGGAGCGUCGUCAGUGCUGCAAGGGAGCUUGCCGGCCCGCAGAAUAUUGUCUGUGCUGUAACGGAGCAUCAUCGGGCCAUCAAAACUUCGAGGGUCAUUCCCGAACUUAAACUUCUUCAGAACAAGCCCGUGUCCAGGAAAGGGGCAACCACAAACGCCAUCCUUUACAAAAAUCUCACAAUUUCUAUUGGUUCUUUCCUACACAAGUUUAAUCUAGUAUUUGCAACAUGCUUCAGGUAGUUGUUAUUGAAGACGACAUCCAACCAAGGCGAAAAUAUGCACAAAACUUUAAGUAUCCUGCAAAUGAUGAUAGUAUAGCCCUCACACUUCUAUGUAGGGACCUUCGAGGCCUUGCACAUGAAGCUUAGUUCACCUCUAAUUUAAUUGUUCUAUACUUUGAGUAAGUAAGUAAGUAUUGCUUUUUUGGAAUCUACUAUUUGUAGAAUCUACUUUUAUUCACUUUUCUCAUAACAACUAUGACUUUAACUUUAUUUACUGUAGUCGUCUGAAUAGGUUACUACCGCUGAAGGCUAUUGAAAAUCUUUAGGUGAUUUGGUGAGUUAGGAGUUGUAAUGGACAUGAAAGACUGCUCAUUGAGAACUACAUAUGAUUUUCCACUGAUUUUAUUUGUUGUCUUCUCAAAUUCUGAUGUACUUAAAAUUUGAGUUGUGGAGCCUAAAUUUUGGAACGUACGAGGAUGCACAUAGUUGGAACCAAUGAGAAAGACACAUAAGAGUUUAUGGCACCAGAACUCUUCACUGGCAAUUAUAAUGAGUUGGUGGACAUAUAUUCGUUUGGGAUGUGCAUGCCUGAAAUGAAAAGAAAAUGAUGGAAAAGACUUGGACCUUGCUCAAUGCUUGGAACUACACCUCUCCAAACAUCCUUGUUGCUUGAUGCCAAGAGGAUUUCUGCAAGAGGCUGGAACUAUGUUUCUCUACAGUUCUCCAUUCGGGCAUUUCUAUGAUUUGAGCUUUCUUCUGACAAAAUUGUGCUGGUUCUAGUUGUAAAACAUAUUUCCUAUUACAGAAGAGAAAGAGAGGAAGUAAAUAGGGGUAAGCCAAGGGCUAGCCUAAAAUCCCAAAAGGACUAUUUCCUGAGGUAUUUGUCGCCGGCCAACCUGUCAUCAACUGAGCGGUUGGUGCUUGAACAAUGACAUUCACUCGGAGGGAGUUUUGAUUAAAAGUUUGUGAAUUAUCAUGCAUGGAACAUGUAUACUUUGUAAAAAAUUCAUUGUAUUAUAUAUUAUAUAAAAGCGACAAAGUAGUGUUCUGGUCAUUGCUUUAG
This is a long non-coding RNA of Triticum aestivum (bread wheat), 1446 nucleotides long. RefSeq lists it as uncharacterized. NCBI's taxonomy places the organism in Eukaryota, Viridiplantae, Streptophyta, Magnoliopsida, Poales, Poaceae. The transcript has 3 exons. The record is from RefSeq and is a predicted model, not a curated record.